CAGCAGCCACGGUAAUACGUAGGUGGCAAGCGUUGUCCGGAAUUAUUGGGCGUAAAGGGCUCGCAGGCGGUUUCUUAAGUCUGAUGUGAAAGCCCCCGGCUCAACCGGGGAGGGUCAUUGGAAACUGGGAAACUUGAGUGCAGAAGAGGAGAGAGGAAUUCCACGUGUAGCGGUGAAAUGCGUAGAGAUGUGGAGGAACACCAGUGGCGAAGGCGACUCUCUGGUCUGUAACUGACGCUGAGGAGCGAAAGCGUGGGGAGCGAACAGGAUUAGAGACCCCAGUAGUCCCUGUCUCUUAUAC
Molecule: ribosomal RNA, 301 nt
Filed under: uncultured bacterium
Lineage: Bacteria
Description: partial 16S ribosomal RNA
Rfam family: Bacterial small subunit ribosomal RNA
Source: RNAcentral